UCACAGGGCACUGCCCCACAGCCCUGAUGCCGCUGCUGCUCCAUCAGCAUCGACUUUGGGGUUUUCUUGCGCCCCAGAGCUUGAAUUAGUCUGAAAAUUGGCCAGAUUUCUGUUGAUCUCCGGAGGAAGAGUAAAAUCUGUUGUUGCAGUAAAGCCUCAUUAUAGACGUGGUGUGAUGCUUCAUGAGGGAUCAGUUUGGGAACAUCUGUCAUCGCUCCGUCACACAAGGGCUGCUGUCAGAGGCCAACAGGCGGGAAAAUGUUCCUUCCUCAGCUGCUGUGCCCCCAGGAAACCUUCCCUGACUUUAUGUUCAGGUGUUGGAGGACACGGAGCUGUUGGUACCUGAGAUCCUGAGUGCAGCCCAAGUGAGGGUGGUACAGAGGUGCUGCUGCUUUAGGUAACUCCUGCUCUGAACCCUGAAUGCAGCAGCAAAAUUUGGGUAACAAUGCAACCCCCGCAGAGAGGAGAGAGCUGAAGAGGAGAAGAGUUCUGGGGAGUUCAGCUGUCCUGGGUAGGAUCAGAGUCCCAGAACAGGAACAGAUAAAGGUACCAGGGUGUGACAGGAGGAUGAGGAGCAGCGGGAGGCAGAGCUGAGCAUCCGCGCCCGCAUCCCCGGUGCCGCCGAGGCGGGAGCGAGAGGAUGGAGCCAGCCCUGCCAGCCACGUGGGGAGAAGCCAAAGGGCAGAGCUGUCAUGUCAGGUAGGGAAACCUUCAGCCUGGUCAAAAACCCGUUUCAUUCCUGAAGAUGAGACAGGUUCGAACUGAGUUUGAAUGCCUCGUGCUUCCCUCGGGGCCGUGUUUUUUGGGAGAAAGGUUUCGUUCCGCCGCUUUCCGCUCACGCGGCCUUUACGUGCCUAGAAGGACUCAGCUGCCACAGCCUGACAGGCGCUGAAAAGCUCUUGUUAAGGUCACUGGUAUCAGAGAAGUGUCUCUCCUACGACAUCCCAGUGAACCGGGGCUGCUGGCACUGGGAGACAGGGACUGAUGUCGCAGACCGGAGCGUGACCCGCUGUCCUGGCACAGCCAGGAAAACUCUGCUCCAGCUAAGUGCAAAAAAAAAAAAAACCCAAAAAACCCCAGCUCUAAACAUUCCUGACCUUUAAAUUCAGGCUGCAGCGAACAGAUCUGCUGCUAACCAAAAAUCCGGGCUUGCUUUCAUGUGCCUGAGCGUUCAGGGAAUAGAUGUAGCUUAACAUGCAAAUGCUGGGCUUCCUGCAGCACGCCGCUGCUUUUCAAGCUCUCUCAUUUCAUGCUGUUACCUCCAUCCCUGCUGUGUCUGUGAAA
Long non-coding RNA from Hirundo rustica (Barn swallow), 1284 nucleotides. RefSeq lists it as uncharacterized. The record is from RefSeq and is a predicted model, not a curated record. The transcript is spliced from 5 exons. NCBI's taxonomy places the organism in Eukaryota, Metazoa, Chordata, Aves, Passeriformes, Hirundinidae.